GGGCGCAUGGUUUAGUGGUAUAAUACUCCCUUAGCAUGUUCGAAGCAAUUCGACAACUAAUUGGGAGUGGUCCUGGGUUCGAUUCCCAGUGUGUCCA
This 97-nucleotide transfer RNA is filed under the name Stachybotrys elegans. It matches the Rfam family "tRNA". From Rfam's summary of the family: Transfer RNA (tRNA) molecules are approximately 80 nucleotides in length. Their secondary structure includes four short double-helical elements and three loops (D, anti-codon, and T loops). The record is from Rfam by way of RNAcentral. Lineage: Eukaryota; Fungi; Ascomycota; Sordariomycetes; Hypocreales; Stachybotryaceae.